UAAUAGUGUAUAUUAAAGUUGUUGCAGUUAAAAAGCUCGUAGUUGAAUGUUGGUGUCGAACGAGCGGUCAGCUUCGGCUGUACUGCUCUCUCGACUCCUUCCUUCUGUGGACUACGUCGCACUUUACUGUGUGGCGCUAGGACGCAGAUCGUUUACUGUGAAAAAAUUAGAGUGUUCAAAGCAGGCCGUACGCUUGAAUACAUUAGCAUGGAAUAAUGGAAUAGGACGUCGGGCCUAUUUUGUUGGUUCUAGGACCGUCGUAAUGAUUAAUAGGGACAGUUGGGGCCGUUUAUAUUCCGUAGUCAGAGGUGAAAUUCUUGGAUUUACGGAAGAUAAACUACUGCGAAAGCAUUCGGUAAGGAUGUUUUCGUUAA
Molecule: ribosomal RNA, 374 nt
Filed under: uncultured eukaryote
Lineage: Eukaryota
Description: partial 18S ribosomal RNA
Rfam family: Eukaryotic small subunit ribosomal RNA
Source: RNAcentral